GCCUUCGUGGUGUAACGGUAGCACACUCGGAUCGUAUUCGGUAGGUCCAAGUUCGAGUCCCGGCGAGGGCA
Molecule: transfer RNA, 71 nt
Filed under: Stegodyphus mimosarum
Lineage: Eukaryota; Metazoa; Arthropoda; Arachnida; Araneae; Eresidae
Rfam family: tRNA
About the family: Transfer RNA (tRNA) molecules are approximately 80 nucleotides in length. Their secondary structure includes four short double-helical elements and three loops (D, anti-codon, and T loops).
Source: Rfam by way of RNAcentral